GACGAACGCUGGCGGCGGGCUUAACACAUGCAAGUCGAACGGAAAGGCCCCCUUGUGGGGUACUCGAGUGGCGAACGGGUGAGUAACACGUGAGUAACCUACCCUUGACUUUGGGAUAACUUCAGGAAACUGGGGCUAAUACCGGAUAGGAGCUCCUGCUGCAUGGUGGGGGUUGGAAAGUUUCGGCGGUUGGGGAUGGACUCGCGGCUUAUCAGCUUGUUGGUGGGGUAGUGGCUCACCAAGGCUUUGACGGGUAGCCGGCCUGAGAGGGUGACCGGCCACAUUGGGACUGAGAUACGGCCCAGACUCCUACGGGAGGCAGCAGUGGGGAAUAUUGCACAAUGGGCGGAAGCCUGAUGCAGCAACGCCGCGUGCGGGAUGACGGCCUUCGGGUUGUAAACCGCUUUCGCCUGUGACGAAGCGUGAGUGACGGUAAUGGGUAAAGAAGCACCGGCUAACUACGUG
RNAcentral lists this ribosomal RNA (465 nucleotides) under uncultured bacterium. RNAcentral describes it as "partial 16S ribosomal RNA". It matches the Rfam family "Bacterial small subunit ribosomal RNA", at positions 28 to 507 of the family's 1533-position model. The record is from RNAcentral.